ACUCUGAUCUGACGUACGUAAUAGACAAUGAGGUCCGCAGACUCUCAAGAAAACCAGAAAUUCCGUCGUUUUUAAGGAAUUCAUGCAUUAGGUCGCCCAAACCACCAAGACUUUUUAUGUUCAUAAAGAGACACAAGAAUCCCGUUGAGGCACAACCAGUGGUGGAAAAAACUACAGCACUGACAUAUCUUUUAGAGAAGAAGCUAGCAAAGUGGUGUAAUAAUAAACUUAAUGAUUAUGAAUAUACGACUGUAUCAUCCAAAAACUUGAUUGACAAUCUUUUGGAGGUGGGCCUUGCCCGAACAAGUUAUGCAGAUAUAUGACUUCAAAGCCUUAUACCCUUCAGUUAAACUUGAACCGGCAUGCUUGUUCCUGUACA
RNAcentral lists this long non-coding RNA (379 nucleotides) under Androctonus crassicauda. Lineage: Eukaryota; Metazoa; Arthropoda; Arachnida; Scorpiones; Buthidae. The record is from RNAcentral.